Molecule: transfer RNA, 86 nt
Filed under: Fimbriimonas sp.
Lineage: Bacteria; Bacillati; Armatimonadota; Fimbriimonadia; Fimbriimonadales; Fimbriimonadaceae
Also listed under: 2 other names
Description: tRNA-Tyr
Rfam family: tRNA
About the family: Transfer RNA (tRNA) molecules are approximately 80 nucleotides in length. Their secondary structure includes four short double-helical elements and three loops (D, anti-codon, and T loops).
Source: RNAcentral
GGUGAGUUGCCCGAGUGGCCAAUGGGAACAGACUGUAAAUCUGUCGGCGAGAGCCUACGUAGGUUCGAAUCCUACACUCACCACCA